Molecule: transfer RNA, 69 nt
Filed under: Ameiurus nebulosus (brown bullhead)
Lineage: Eukaryota; Metazoa; Chordata; Actinopteri; Siluriformes; Ictaluridae
Also listed under: 1 other name
Description: tRNA-Ser
Source: RNAcentral
GAAAGAGGCCCCUAGGCCAUAGAGACUGCUAAUCCCUAUUAUCACGGUUAAACUCCGUGGCUCAUUCGA